UACCACAAGAUAACAUGGGCCCCUGUUCUGUUCGUUAGACUUUGGGAAAUUGAAAUGGGCUGGGAUAAGUGUUUGGAUAGAAAAGUACUGUUCUAUUCAUUUAUGUCCUGGCCUACAAAA
This 120-nucleotide small nucleolar RNA is filed under the name Dasypus novemcinctus (nine-banded armadillo). The record is from RNAcentral. Lineage: Eukaryota; Metazoa; Chordata; Mammalia; Cingulata; Dasypodidae.